Molecule: ribosomal RNA, 22 nt
Filed under: uncultured dinoflagellate
Lineage: Eukaryota; Dinophyceae
Description: partial 18S rRNA
Source: RNAcentral
AGUCUGGUGCCAGCAGCCGCCG